GAAGAGACUGCAAGACUUGAGAUCGGGUGAGGUUAAACGUACUUUCAGGGUAGGGGUAAAAUCCUGUAAUCCCGGAAGGACGACCAGUGGCGAAAGCGUUUAACUAGGACGAAUCUGACGGUAAGGAACGAAGGCUAGGGUAGCAAACCGGAUUAGAUACCCGGGUAGUCCUAGCUGUAAACAUUGCCCAUUUGAUGUUGCUUUCCCGUUGAGGGAAGGCAGUGUCGGAGCGAAGGUGUUAAAUGGGCCGCUUGGGAAGUAUGGUCGCAAGACUGAAACUUAAAGGAAUUGGCGGGGGAGCACCGCAACGGGAGGAAUGUGCGGUUUAAUUGGAUUCAACGCCGGAAAACUCACCGGGAACGACCUGUGCAUGAGAGUCAACUUGACGAGCUUACUCGAUAGCAGGAGAGGUGGUGCAUGGCCGUCGUCAGCUCGUACCGUAGGGCGUUCACUUAAGUGUGAUAACGAGCGAGACCCACAUCUUUAAUUGCGAAUGUUUAUGGGAAUAUGCAUGCACUUUAGAGAAACCGGCAGCGCUAAGCUGGAGGAAGGAG
Molecule: ribosomal RNA, 554 nt
Filed under: uncultured bacterium
Lineage: Bacteria
Description: bacterial SSU rRNA
Rfam family: Archaeal small subunit ribosomal RNA
Source: RNAcentral